CCAUAUCACAAUUAAACAUCAGUUCUCAUAUGAACACUGAAGUUAAAUAACAUUGAACUUAGUCAAUACCAGGAUGGCUGACCACCUGGGAAUACCAGGUGCUGUAAG
Non-coding RNA from Acanthosepion pharaonis, 108 nucleotides. Lineage: Eukaryota; Metazoa; Mollusca; Cephalopoda; Sepiida; Sepiidae. The record is from the annotation of a GenBank genome assembly.